CUGGGCAGCGGGCGCAGAGCAGCCAGGCCUGGCAGAGAGUUACUGGUGCAUGGAUUCAUGCACAGGGCUACUAGUAAUGUUAUAAAUAUCCAAAUGGCCCUUGGUAGAAAAAGGUUCCCCACCCUGCUCUACUGGUAUCUUCCUACUGUAUGAACUACCUGGAACCUGAAGCAAUACAAAUGCAAGGAGCCCCUCCCCCUACUUUACUACAAAACUGCCAAGAUCCAUGUAAGCAGCUGUAUUCCCACUGCAUCCAAGGACUGAUCAUUCCUGGUUCUGCAGCAACUCUGUGGGGGCAGUGGAUACAGAACUGAGUCUCGGGGAAAUGAAGGACCUUCCCAGCCAGGUUCGUUUACAUAGGUAACAGGCCAAGGAGAAGCCUCGCCCGGCAGUGCAGAAGACUGGAAACUCCAUGGGCACUGACAUGUGUGUAACUCUGUGUCCUGCCACCAUGGAGGACCGUCCCUGUCACCUGGCAGGCUCCUGCUGAUGAACCAUGGCUUAAGAAAUUAAACACGGAGCCGAGA
This is a long non-coding RNA of Eptesicus fuscus (big brown bat), 527 nucleotides long. RefSeq lists it as uncharacterized. The transcript has 4 exons. The record is from RefSeq and is a predicted model, not a curated record. NCBI's taxonomy places the organism in Eukaryota, Metazoa, Chordata, Mammalia, Chiroptera, Vespertilionidae.